AACUAAUAGUAGAGUCGGUCUUGUAGGAGAAAUUCAGCAAAGCAGUUCAUGAAUAAGACGUAUACCGCUGUAGUAUGCCGUGCACCGUCCUGUUUUUGAUUCCGCGAGUACUGUAUUUCCGUAAACGCUGUCCACAUGCAGUGGCGGCAGAUAAAUGAUUGAUUGCAGGAAUAUUCAUAGUAUGUCUACUACUACCGGUACCGUUAAGUUCUUCAACGAAGCAAAAGGUUUUGGUUUCAUCACUCGCGAAGGCGGCCCGGACGUUUUCGUUCACUUCAGCGCCAUCCAGGGUUCAGGGUUCAAAACUCUGGCUGAAGGCCAGCAGGUCGAGUUCACCGUCACCCAGGGCCAAAAAGGACCUCAGGCGGAGAACGUUGUUGCUCUGUAAGUAGCAGACAACAGCACUUCAAGAAAGGCAGCCUCGGCUGCCUUUUUUUG
Molecule: non-coding RNA, 438 nt
Filed under: Marinobacter sp. X15-166B
Lineage: Bacteria; Pseudomonadati; Pseudomonadota; Gammaproteobacteria; Pseudomonadales; Marinobacteraceae
Description: cspA thermoregulator
Rfam family: cspA thermoregulator (bases 109-438)
Source: Rfam by way of RNAcentral